AUGACAGUGUUUCUGGGCACUGCAUUGGUUGAUAUGUAUGCCAAAUGUGGUGAGGUACAUCUUGGAGUGGAGGUGUUUGAGGGAAAAAAGGGCAAGAGUGUACUGGUAUGGACUACUAUGAUCAAGGGCCUAGCUAUGCUCGGCCGAGGCUCGGACUCGUUGAUGCUCGUUUCCCAGAUGGAGAGCUUAGGUGUUGAGCCGGAUGACAUUGCCUUCAUUGGCGCGCUCUGUGCGUGCACACGCACUAGGUUGGUUGACAAGGGUCGGGAGUUUUUCAAUUCCAUGGUCAACAACUAUGGUAUUAAACCAAAGAUUGAGCAUUAUGGUUGCAUGGUAGACCUCCUGGCAUGGAAUGGCUUGCUUAGUGAGGCCAAAGACAUGGUUGAGAAAAUGCAAAUGAAACCGGAUGUGUUAAUCUGGGGAGCUCUAAUGGCUGGUUGUAGGUUUCACAAGAAUGUGGAGUUGCUCGAGUAUGUUAUAAAGCAC
Molecule: ribosomal RNA, 486 nt
Filed under: Triticum aestivum (bread wheat)
Lineage: Eukaryota; Viridiplantae; Streptophyta; Magnoliopsida; Poales; Poaceae
Description: partial small subunit ribosomal RNA
Source: RNAcentral